GACACGUGGUGCCUUCAGGCUCUGGGGCCUAGGACCUUUGUGGUAGCAGAGUCACUGCAGAGAACCAGACAAUACCAGGUUGCUUAUAAAAGGAUGCCAUGUGCUUGCUGGAGGUCCCAGGUGCAACCAAAUUGCUUGCAGCUAGGAGGACCUUGAAGAGAAAUGGGAUCAGCCCGCCAAACCAAGAAGGGUUAGCACUUUUGCUAGGAGAGCUGACCACGCACAAACAGAUGAGAACCAAAACCGAGUGAAGAGGAUUGAAGAUGAACCCACAUUUUAAAAGUUCUUGUCUGCUGGAGGUGGCAUUACCUGUGACCUCGCUUCACUUCUCCAUACAUGGCUGUUAUAGCAGAAAAUCCAGCUUUCUGAAGCAUAUUUCACGACAUAUGAUGAGACUUAUGUGAUGUGAGACCUGAGAAAACUAUGAUAGAAAGAAGCAACUCAAGUUGCAAGGAUAUUCCUCAUGUAUCAUGCAAGGAUAUUCCUCAUAUAUCAUAGACUAAGGUGUCAGUAUGUUCUUCAAGCUGCUCUGCUCCUGGGCCCAAGCUAUUCUCCUGCCUCAGCCUUCCAAGAAGCUGAAACUACAAGAACACAAGACUGUACCUGGCUUGCAAACACCAUUGCUAAUAAGAAGAUAUUGUAAGACUGAUACCUAAGAGAUAAGAGACAUGGAUCCCUGAGGUCGGUCCCCAAUACGACAAGACAAUUUGAUAUCAUAAUAGAACACUGCAGAAACAAUGCUGAGUGAAGAAGAGUAGAAAUGGGAAGACUUGGUUGAGCGGAAACUGAGUUCUUGAAAAGAGGAGAUGCUUGAUGAGGGCAUGGAUCCCUGAGGUCUGCCCCAGUACUAUAAGACAAUUUGAUGUAAGAAAACACAGCAGAUAUAAUACUGAGUGAAGAAGAGUAUAAAUGAGAAGAUUGGUUGUGCAGAUACUGAGUUCAUGAAAAGAGGAGAUGAUUGAUGAGGCCAGGUGCGGUGACUCAUGCCUGUAAUCCCUGCACUUUGGGAGGCUGCGGCGGGCGGAUCACCUGAGGUCAGGAGUUCGAGACCAGCCUGGGAGACAGAGCAUGGAAACCUAAGGUCUGUACCCAAAACUACAGGACUAUUUGACAUCAUAAUAAAACACUGCAGAUAUGAUGCUGAGUAAGAGUAGAAAUGGGAAGACUUGGUUGUGCAGUAACUGAGUUCUUGAAAAGAGGAGAUGCUUGAUGAGGGCAUGGAUCACUAAGGUCUGUUCCCAAUACAAGAAGACUCUUUGACAUCAUAAUAAAAUACUGCAGAUACGAUGCUGAGUGAAAAAGAGUAGAAAUGGGAAGACUUGGUUGUGCAGAAACUGAGUUCUUAAAGAGAGGAGAUACUUUAUGAGGGCUGGAGUGCACUGGAGCAAUCCUGGCUGGCCAAUACUGAGUUCUUGAAAACAGGAGAUGCUUGAUGAGGUUGCAGGGCUUUGACUCCUGGGUACAUGUAUCUCAUCUGAAAGGGAAUCCUGACGCCUACUGAAUCUUAAUAGUCAAUAUUGAUAUCUGGCAUCAAAUUCAAGUUGACCAAAGUUCCAUCUUCAGACCUGGGAGAAGAUGACAGUCAAAAUGAACUGCUUUCAUGUGACACUGGACCAGGCCUAUAUACAAAGGCAUAAGUAAUCAUUGAAUAAUGUUUCAUCUAUCUAUCUUAAUAUAAUUUGUUCUAUGCCUUACUAGAUAAAUGUUUAGUUACCUGUGAGUUUUCUUUUCCUGCCAUUGUCAGAGCUAGGCAGGGCUUAAGUCCCUUUCGUUUAAACAUUACUAACUCUAUACAUAGCUUGCAAAAUUGGAUAAAACAACAAAGGUUACUUUUUCACUCUCUCUCUGCUUAAUAUCUCUGAAAUUUAAAACUAUUCAGAAUCCCACUGGGCCCGAUCUAUUUUCAAUGCUAAUGCUCCACUGCUAAAACUAUAUAAGCAUCUUCCCUCUAGGCUCAGGCACUAUCUUGGAAGAGGUAAAUGUGUAAGAUUGUAAAGGUUGAUUUUUGAGCAACAAAAUUAAUUUAGAUCUUCCAAAUAAAAAAUGGGCACACAGAUGCCCAAACAGUUGGCAAAAUAAGAUACUUUACCUCCUGGACCAGUAUGUGGACCUUUUUCAUCCAUCCCAACCAUAAUUUCCUCUUUCCUGUAGAAUUAAAAGAAAAUUGCAAAGAGGAUAUGAACUUUUCUGGUAAGAAAACCUCCUGGGUAUAGUGCUCCCAGUUAUGAGAUUUAUGCAGAUUGUUAUAUAAAGUUUUUUUAAAUCAAGCACCUUAGGACAAACUAUUAAAAAGACUGCUAAAAGCGUUGUGACACAACAAAAGUCUCUAAAUUCUGUAGCUUAAAAAGUUUUAACAAAGUACUUAUCUUUUGCAAGCUAAUUGCUACAAGUCUAUAACUAAAACAUGUAUUGACUGAUGUCUUAGGUCUCCCUAAAAUAUAUAAAACCAAGUUGUAAACCAAUCACCUUGGACACAUGUUCUCAGGACCUCUGGAGACUGUGCCUUGGGCCAUGGUCACUCAUAUUUGGCUGAGAAUAAAAUUUUAAAAA
RNAcentral lists this long non-coding RNA (2550 nucleotides) under Homo sapiens (human). Its description in RNAcentral is "firre intergenic repeating RNA element, transcript variant 2 (FIRRE)". The record is from RNAcentral. Lineage: Eukaryota; Metazoa; Chordata; Mammalia; Primates; Hominidae.